GGCAUGUUGGUGGUGGUGACAGCUGGUAUCCUAGUCACAUGGAAGAUGUGGACAAAGCAUAAGGACAAUAAGGCCAAGGACCAGACAACUAACAACUCAGUGUCUGCUGACCCUGAGCAGGACAUUUCAUACAGCACAGUGAGAUACACCAGAGAAACAGCACAGCAG
This is a long non-coding RNA of Coregonus clupeaformis (lake whitefish), 168 nucleotides long. RefSeq lists it as uncharacterized. The record is from RefSeq and is a predicted model, not a curated record. The transcript has 3 exons. NCBI's taxonomy places the organism in Eukaryota, Metazoa, Chordata, Actinopteri, Salmoniformes, Salmonidae.